UACGUAGGGUCCGAGCGUUGUCCGGAAUUACUGGGCGUAAAGAGCUCGUAGGCGGUUUGUCACGUCUGCUGUGAAAUCCCGAGGCUCAACCUCGGGCCUGCAGUGGGUACGGGCAGACUGGAGUGCGGUAGGGGAGAAUGGAAUUCCUGGUGUAGCGGUGGAAUGCGCAGAUAUCAGGAGGAACACCGAUGGCGAAGGCAGUUCUCUGGGCCGUAACUGACGCUGAGGAGCGAAAGCGUGGGGAGCGAACAGG
Molecule: ribosomal RNA, 253 nt
Filed under: uncultured bacterium
Lineage: Bacteria
Description: partial 16S ribosomal RNA
Rfam family: Bacterial small subunit ribosomal RNA
Source: RNAcentral